This 212-nucleotide long non-coding RNA is filed under the name Setaria viridis. RNAcentral describes it as "long non-coding RNA (SVIR_LNC010903)". The record is from RNAcentral. Lineage: Eukaryota; Viridiplantae; Streptophyta; Magnoliopsida; Poales; Poaceae.
CCCCACUAGAUCACAAGCUGCAAUAUGAGGCAUGCGAUGAAACCUCCUACGAGGAUUCUUCUAGCAUCUCGGCUAUCCCUACGAGCGCAGGAGUCUGUGGAGGAAAGGUGGCCUCAAUCUACGAGGAAUCUUCUAGCACCGAUGCACUCUUUGAUGGCUCUCUACACUCAAACAGAAGCAACCGAAGGCAAUCCAUUGCUACUCAGGAACUU